AUUCCAGCUCCAAUAGCGUAUAUUAAAGUUGUUGCGGUUAAAAAGCUCGUAGUUGGAUUUCUGCCGAGGACGACCGGUCCGCCCUCUGGGUGAGUAUCUGGCUCGGCCUGGGCAUCUUCUUGGAGAACGUAGCUGCACUUGACUGUGUGGUGCGGUAUCCAGGACUUUUACUUUGAGGAAAUUAGAGUGUUUCAAGCAGGCACACGCCUUGAAUACAUUAGCAUGGAAUAAUAAGAUAGGACCUCGGUUCUAUUUUGUUGGUUUCUAGAGCUGAGGUAAUGAUUAAUAGGGAUAGUUGGGGGCAUUCGUAUUUAACUGUCAGAGGUGAAAUUCUUGGAUUUGUUAGAGACGGACUACUGCGAAAGCAUUUGCCAAGGAUGUUUUCAUCA
Molecule: ribosomal RNA, 389 nt
Filed under: Peridiniales sp.
Lineage: Eukaryota; Dinophyceae; Peridiniales
Description: partial small subunit ribosomal RNA
Rfam family: Eukaryotic small subunit ribosomal RNA
Source: RNAcentral